AGAGCGAACGCUGGCGGCAGGCCUAACACAUGCAAGUCGAGCGCGUGUAGCAAUACACGAGCGGCAGACGGGAGAGUAACACGUGGGAACGCGCCCUUUGGUUCGGAAUAACUCAGGGAAACUUGAGCUAAUACCGGAUAAGCCCUUACGGGGAAAGAUUUAUCGCCAAAGGAACGGCCCGCGUCCGAUUAGCUAGUUGGUGAGGUAACGGCUCACCAAGGCGACGAUCGGUAGCUGGUCUGAGAGGAUGACCAGCCUCACUGGGACUGAGACACGGCCCAGACUCCUACGGGAGGCAGCAGUGGGGAAUAUUGGACAAUGGGCGCAAGCCUGAUCCAGCCAUGCCGCGUGGAUGAUGAAGGCCUUAGGGUUGUAAAGUCCUUUUAACGGGAAGAUAAUGACGGUACCCGUAGAAUAAGCCCGGCUAACUUCGUGCCAGCAGCGC
RNAcentral lists this ribosomal RNA (445 nucleotides) under uncultured bacterium. RNAcentral's name for it is "SSU rRNA". It matches the Rfam family "Bacterial small subunit ribosomal RNA", at positions 26 to 518 of the family's 1533-position model. The record is from RNAcentral.